CCUUUCGUCUCCUUCCCCACCUCUCUCUCUCUCUCUCUAACCAAACCCCCCGGAAACGAAAAAUCUCUCCCACUCCAACUCUUCCAUCCGAGUAGUGUAGAACUCGCACCAACGCCCUCUCCUGCGGCCGUCAAAAUCCAAUCUUUCCGCUCUCCGCCACCGUUUUCGGGGCUUUUUUUCGCCCGCACAGCCGCAAGAUUGAUCUUACCUUGAUUCAAUCGAACCUCAGACAUCAGUCCAAUCCCCAGCAGGUUUUCGUCAAUUGCAAAGUCCGGCAGUGGAUCGGAAGCAUGGGGUUCCGAUCCGCCGGCGCGAUGCUGCAGUUGCUGGUGUGGGCAGCGCUCCUGCUGGGCUGCUGCCACGGGAGGUUCGUGGUGGAGAAGAACAGCCUCAAGGUGACGGCGCCGGAUGACCUCAAGGGCACCUACGAGUGCGCCAUUGGCAACUUCGGCGUGCCCCAGUACGGCGGCACCAUGGUCGGCUUCGUCGCCUACCCCAAGGCCAACAAGAAGGCCUGCAAGAGCUUCGACGAUUUCGACAUCUCCUACAAGGCCAAGCCGGGAGCGUUCCCCACUUUCCUGCUAGUCGACAGGGGAGAUUGCUACUUCACAAAGAAGGCAUGGAAUGCACAGAAUGCAGGAGCAGCAGCAAUCCUUGUUGCUGAUGACAAGGAUGAACCUCUAAUUACAAUGGACACCCCUGAGGAGAGUGGGAGGGCAGAUUACUUAGAGAACAUCACUAUUCCUUCAGCGCUAAUAACCAAGAGCUUUGGGGAUAGGCUCAAGAAGGCAAUUGAUAAUGGUGACAUGGUUAAUGUAAAUUUGGAUUGGAGAGAGGCCCUGCCCCACCCUGAUGAGCGUGUUGAGUAUGAAUUUUGGACCAACAGCAAUGAUGAAUGUGGCCCAAAAUGCGAUAGCCAGACUGAUUUUGUCAAGAGCUUCAAAGGAGCAGCACAGGUACUUGAGAAGAAGGGCUACACAGAGUUCACUCCUCACUACAUUACAUGGUAUUGUCCAGAGGCCUUCAUUCUGAGCAAGCAGUGCAAGUCCCAGUGCAUCAAUCAUGGGAGAUACUGUGCGCCUGACCCAGAACAGGAUUUUAGCAAAGGAUAUGAUGGGAAAGAUGUGGUGAUCCAGAAUUUGCGCCAAGUUUGUGUGUUUAAGGUUGCUAAGGAGCACAAGAAGCCUUGGUUAUGGUGGGACUAUGUUACUGAUUUUGCGAUCCGAUGCCCAAUGAAGGAAAAGAAGUACACCAAGGAGUGUGCUGAUGGGGUUAUCAAGUCACUUGGCCUUGAUCAUAAGGCAAUAGAUAAAUGUAUUGGUGAUCCAGAUGCUGAUGAAGAAAACCCUGUUCUGAAAGCUGAACAAGAUGCACAGAUCGGCAAGGGCUCUCGUGGUGAUGUUACCAUCUUACCAACUCUGGUAAUCAAUAAUAGACAAUACAGAGGGAAGCUUGACAAAGGGGCAGUUCUUAAAGCACUUUGUGCUGGUUUUCGGGAAACCACUGAGCCAGCUGUUUGCUUGAGUGAAGAUAUACAAACAAAUGAGUGCCUAGAGAACAAUGGUGGCUGUUGGCAAGAUAAGGCUGCUAACAUCACUGCAUGCAAGGAUACUUUCCGUGGAAGAGUUUGUGAAUGUCCAGUUGUGAAAGGAGUAAAAUUCGUUGGUGAUGGCUAUACUCACUGUGAAGCUUCUGGAUCUGGGAGAUGUGAAAUUAACAAUGGAGGGUGUUGGAAAGAGACCAGGAAUGGUCGGACAUACUCUGCCUGCACUGAUGAUGGCUGUAAAUGCCCGGAUGGGUUCAAGGGUGAUGGUAAGCACAAAUGUGAAGAUAUUGAUGAAUGCAAGGAAAGGACUGCAUGCCAAUGCAAAGAAUGCAAAUGCAAGAACACAUGGGGAAGCUAUGAGUGUGGCUGCAGUGGAGGAUUGCUUUACAUGAAGGAGCAUGAUACAUGCAUAAGCAAAAAUGGAGCAACAGAAACAGGCUGGGGCUUCUUGUGGGUCAUCUUCUUUGGCCUUGUAGCAGCAGGAAUUGCAGGAUAUGCAGUGUACAAGUACAGGAUCCGGAGGUAUAUGGACUCGGAGAUCCGUGCCAUCAUGGCUCAGUACAUGCCCCUGGACAACCAAGGAGAUGUUCAGAGUCAUUCUCAUCAUAUUGAGAUGUGAAUAGGAUGCAGACUUUAUAAGAGGAAACCAAGAUGUGAUCCAACAUCCAACUCAUAUAAACUUGGGGUUAGAUGUGCAUAACUGACCAAUAAAGGAGAUGGCAGACGGGCAUGACUGGUGUUCAGUCAUGUUUGUGGUCACUGGUUUGUCAAUGGUGGAGGGAUAUGACUGCCAACAAACAGAAAACUGUGCCUGGUGUUUUUGCUUGAUUCGUGAUGGCUAUCCACUGAAUGGAAUUUGUUUGUAUUUUUAAGAGCAGGGACUGGACAUCUAUGUGCGUGAUACUCGAGGCGGGUGUUUAACAGACAGAAGUAUUGCUCCUUGUAAAACAUAUGUUCGAGCGGAAUCGGUUGCUGAGAAAGUUGGCUACCAGUGGCUAACUGAAAUAUAAAGCGUUCUGGGAUCACAUACGUUGCGUAUGUAUCAGCAUCUGAUCUUGUAACAGGUGCAUUGAAAUAUGAGAUCGACAGAGCUGAUGCUAAUUGUUUAUUUGUA
Setaria italica (foxtail millet) is the source of this 2660-nucleotide RNA transcript. It is a transcript of the gene named vacuolar-sorting receptor 1, with no coding region annotated. The record is from RefSeq and is a predicted model, not a curated record. The transcript is spliced from 13 exons. NCBI's taxonomy places the organism in Eukaryota, Viridiplantae, Streptophyta, Magnoliopsida, Poales, Poaceae.